GUGUCAGCAGCCGCGGUAAUACGAAGGGGGCUAGCGUUGUUCGGAAUCACUGGGCGUAAAGGGCGCGUAGGCGGCCUUGCAAGUCGGGGGUGAAAUCCCGUGGCUCAACCACGGAAUGGCCUUCGAUACUGCGGGGCUGGAGACCGGAAGAGGUGAGUGGAACUGCGAGUGUAGAGGUGAAAUUCGUAGAUAUUCGCAAGAACACCAGUGGCGAAGGCGGCUCACUGGUCCGGUUCUGACGCUGAGGCGCGAAAGCGUGGGGAGCAAACAGGAUUAGAAACCCCCGUAGUCC
Molecule: ribosomal RNA, 292 nt
Filed under: uncultured bacterium
Lineage: Bacteria
Description: partial 16S ribosomal RNA
Rfam family: Bacterial small subunit ribosomal RNA
Source: RNAcentral